Molecule: transfer RNA, 73 nt
Filed under: Marmota marmota marmota (Alpine marmot)
Lineage: Eukaryota; Metazoa; Chordata; Mammalia; Rodentia; Sciuridae
Also listed under: 1 other name
Rfam family: tRNA
About the family: Transfer RNA (tRNA) molecules are approximately 80 nucleotides in length. Their secondary structure includes four short double-helical elements and three loops (D, anti-codon, and T loops).
Source: Rfam by way of RNAcentral
GAGGUUGUAGCUCAGUGGUAGAGUGUGCUUGCCUUGCAUGCAUGAGGCCCUGGGUUCGAUCCUCAGUACCACA